CAACGACCUAAUCUCGAUAAUGUUGUCAUCCUAGUAACAACAUAUCAUUUGGUCGCGAAUAAGUUUAAGGACUCAAAGAUAAAUCCUCCUUUAUCAUAACAUAAGUCCUAAGGACUUCAUCAUAUAAGAGUUCAUUUGAAGAUGAAAUGAUGAAUAAUGCCAAAUAAUACUUUAUUAAUUUGUCAAUUCAUUUACAAAAUUCAAUCAUCAAUAUGCUGACGAUUGACAUUUAGGAUACAAUUCCCAACAACUUUCACUUAGCCUAAAGCCAAUCGGCACAGUAUCUAAUACCCAUCUUCGACUUGUGUUCGUUGAACUCUU
This 321-nucleotide long non-coding RNA is filed under the name Phoenix dactylifera (date palm). RNAcentral's name for it is "long non-coding RNA (PDAC_LNC009967)". Lineage: Eukaryota; Viridiplantae; Streptophyta; Magnoliopsida; Arecales; Arecaceae. The record is from RNAcentral.